GUGGGGAAUAUUGGACAAUGGGCGAAAGCCUGAUCCAGCCAUGCCGCGUGUGUGAAGAAGGUCUUCGGAUUGUAAAGCACUUUAAGUUGGGAGGAAGGGCAGUAAGUUAAUACCUUGCUGUUUUGACGUUACCGACAGAAUAAGCACCGGCUAACUUCGUGCCAGCAGCCGCGGUAAUACGAAGGGUGCAAGCGUUAAUCGGAAUUACUGGGCGUAAAGCGCGCGUAGGUGGUUUUGUAAGUUGGAGGUGAAAUCCCCGGACUCAACCUGGGAACUGCCUCCAAAACUGCAUGACUAGAGUACGGUAGAGGGUAGUGGAAUUUCCUGUGUAGCGGUGAAAUGCGUAGAUAUAGGAAGGAACACCAGUGGCGAAGGCGACUACCUGGACUGAUACUGACACUGAGGUGCGAAAGCGUGGGGAGCAAACAGGAUUAGAUACCCCGGUAGUCC
Molecule: ribosomal RNA, 450 nt
Filed under: uncultured bacterium
Lineage: Bacteria
Description: partial 16S ribosomal RNA
Rfam family: Bacterial small subunit ribosomal RNA
Source: RNAcentral